CUAGGAGAACCGAAAACAGUUCUAGACAGACCUGCGGUUUUAUAGCAGUUUUGGCAGUCAACUUCAGCUUGUGCCUGAGUAGACUGGCCGCGGUGGCCCGCCUGCGGGGGACGCCUGGCCGCCUUUCCUGGCUGCACGAAGUCCCUCUCUUAAUUAGAUCGAUUUCUUCCUGGUGCCAGGAAGAGGGGGUCCCUGCAGAAAGG
Tupaia belangeri (northern tree shrew) is the source of this 203-nucleotide non-coding RNA. Lineage: Eukaryota; Metazoa; Chordata; Mammalia; Scandentia; Tupaiidae. The record is from Rfam.